Molecule: long non-coding RNA, 362 nt
Organism: Sebastes umbrosus (honeycomb rockfish)
Lineage: Eukaryota; Metazoa; Chordata; Actinopteri; Perciformes; Sebastidae
Exons: 3
Source: RefSeq, a predicted model, not a curated record
UAACAGCACAGCACGUCUGAGUACUGAAUGUGUUUUUGCUGAACUUGCACAGCAACAUCACCGACGCUGCCUGAGUCGCCACAGUUUCGUAACCACAGCAUGAACUGAAACAAUCUGAAGGUGCAGUAACAGAAGAGUUAACUUGUGUCUUCAAGAAGCAGCUGCAGAGCCAGAGAAUCCGCCGCCCCACUGAGACAUCCAGAGCAUCACAAAGCCAAGAGACAUACAAGAUGGCUGCUGGUGGUAUCGCUCGUCCUUUUGAAUACCCUGAAGGAGCUAGCGAACAAAGAAAGGAAAAGAUCAGAGAGAAAGCACUGCGUGGCAAUGAAGACACUCUGUUUUAUGAUACAGAUGCUGAAGGU